UACGGGGGGGGCAAGCGUUGUUCGGAAUUACUGGGCGUAAAGGGCUCAUAGGCGGCCAACUAAGUCAGACGUGAAAUCCCUCGGCUUAACCGGGGAACUGCGUCUGAUACUGGAUGGCUUGAGGUUGGGAGAGGGAUGCGGAAUUCCAGGUGUAGCGGUGAAAUGCGUAGAUAUCUGGAGGAACACCGGUGGCGAAGGCGGCAUCCUGGACCAAUUCUGACGCUGAGGAGCGAAAGCCAGGGGAGCAAACGGG
RNAcentral lists this ribosomal RNA (253 nucleotides) under uncultured bacterium. RNAcentral's name for it is "partial 16S ribosomal RNA". It matches the Rfam family "Bacterial small subunit ribosomal RNA", at positions 524 to 776 of the family's 1533-position model. The record is from RNAcentral.